AGCUUGCUGGGGGAUUAGUGGCGAACGGGUGAGUAACACGUGAGUAACCUGCCCUUGACUCUGGGAUAAGCCUGGGAAACUGGGUCUAAUACCGGAUAUGACUCCUCAUCGCAUGGUGGGGGGUGGAAAGCUUUUGUGGUUUUGGAUGGACUCGCGGCCUAUCAGCUUGUUGGUGGGGUAAUGGCCUACCAAGGCGACGACGGGUAGCCGGCCUGAGAGGGUGACCGGCCACACUGGGACUGAGACACGGCCCAGACUCCUACGGGAGGCAGCAGUGGGGAAUAUUGCACAAUGGGCGCAAGCCUGAUGCAGCGACGCCGCGUGAGGGAUGACGGCCUUCGGGUUGUAAACCUCUUUCAGUAGGGAAGAAGCCGUGAGGUGACGGUACCUGCAGAAGAAGCGCCGGCUAACUACGUGCCAGCAGCCGCGGUAAUACGUAGGGCGCAAGCGUUAUCCGGAAUUAUUGGGCGUAAAGAGCUCGUAGGCGGUUUGUCGCGUCUGCUGUGAAAGACCGGGGCUCAAC
This 523-nucleotide ribosomal RNA is filed under the name Arthrobacter sp. RNAcentral's name for it is "bacterial SSU rRNA". It matches the Rfam family "Bacterial small subunit ribosomal RNA", at positions 77 to 613 of the family's 1533-position model. The record is from RNAcentral. RNAcentral also lists the same sequence under 1 other name. Lineage: Bacteria; Bacillati; Actinomycetota; Actinomycetes; Micrococcales; Micrococcaceae.